GAUGAACGCUAGCGGCAGGCCUAACACAUGCAAGUCGAGGGGCAGCACAUAAAGUGGUUUACUACUUUUGGUGGCGACCGGCGGACGGGUGCGUAACGCGUAUGCAACCUGCCUCCAACAGGGGGAUAACGGAGAGAAAUUUCCACUAAUACCCCAUAAUAUCAGAAUCGGCAUCGGUUUUGGUUGAAAACUCCGGUGGUUGGAGAUGGGCAUGCGUUGUAUUAGAUAGUUGGUGAGGUAACGGCUCACCAAGUCAACGAUACAUAGGGGGACUGAGAGGUUAGCCCCCCACACUGGUACUGAGACACGGACCAGACUCCUACGGGAGGCAGCAGUGAGGAAUAUUGGUCAAUGGGGGCAACCCUGAACCAGCCAUGCCGCGUGCAGGAAGACGGCUCUAUGAGUUGUAAACUUCUUUUAUUGGGGAAUAAUGGGUGGGACGUGUCCUGCAAGCGAAUGUACCCUAUGAAUAAGCAUCGGCUAACUCCGUGCCAGCCGCCGCCGUAA
This 507-nucleotide ribosomal RNA is filed under the name uncultured bacterium. RNAcentral's name for it is "partial 16S ribosomal RNA". It matches the Rfam family "Bacterial small subunit ribosomal RNA", at positions 28 to 523 of the family's 1533-position model. The record is from RNAcentral.